Molecule: transfer RNA, 76 nt
Filed under: Muribaculaceae bacterium Isolate-110 (HZI)
Lineage: Bacteria; Pseudomonadati; Bacteroidota; Bacteroidia; Bacteroidales; Muribaculaceae
Description: tRNA-Glu
Rfam family: tRNA
About the family: Transfer RNA (tRNA) molecules are approximately 80 nucleotides in length.
Source: RNAcentral
GGCGAUUUAGUGUAGAGGCCUAGCACGCCGCCCUCUCACGGCGGAAACCCGGGUUCGAAUCCCGGAUUCGCUACAA